RNAcentral lists this ribosomal RNA (883 nucleotides) under uncultured bacterium. Its description in RNAcentral is "bacterial SSU rRNA". It matches the Rfam family "Bacterial small subunit ribosomal RNA", at positions 8 to 916 of the family's 1533-position model. The record is from RNAcentral.
AGAGUUUGAUCAUGGCUCAGGACGAACGCUGGCGGCGUGCCUAACACAUGCAAGUCGAGCGGGAGACUUCGGUCUCCAGCGGCGGACGGGUGAGUAACACGUGGGUAACCUGCCUUGUAGAGGGGGAUAGCCUUCCGAAAGGAAGAUUAAUACCGCAUAACAUUAUGCUUUUGCAUGAGAGUAUAAUCAAAGGAGCAAUCCGCUACAAGAUGGACCCGCGGCGCAUUAGCUAGUUGGUGAGGUAACGGCUCACCAAGGCGACGAUGCGUAGCCGGCCUGAGAGGGUGAACGGCCACAUUGGAACUGAGACACGGUCCAGACUCCUACGGGAGGCAGCAGUGGGGAAUAUUGCACAAUGGGCGAAAGCCUGAUGCAGCAACGCCGCGUGAGUGAUGAAGGCCUUCGGGUUGUAAAGCUCUGUCUUCUGGGACGAUAAUGACGGUACCAGAGGAGGAAGCCACGGCUAACUACGUGCCAGCAGCCGCGGUAAUACGUAGGUGGCAAGCGUUGUCCGGAUUUACUGGGCGUAAAGGAUGCGUAGGCGGAUGCUUAAGUCAGAUGUGAAAAUCCCGGGCUCAACUUGGGAACUGCAUUUGAAACUGGGUAUCUAGAGUGCGGGAGAGGAGAGUGGAAUUCCUAGUGUAGCGGUGAAAUGCGUAGAGAUUAGGAAGAACACCAGUGGCGAAGGCGACUCUCUGGACCGUAACUGACGCUGAGGCAUGAAAGCGUGGGGAGCAAACAGGAUUAGAUACCCUGGUAGUCCACGCCGUAAACUAUGAAUACUAGGUGUGGGAGUUGUCAUGACUUCCGUGCCGCAGUUAACACAAUAAGUAUUCCGCCUGGGGAGUACGGUCGCAAGAUUAAAACUCAAAGGAAUUGACGG